Molecule: long non-coding RNA, 315 nt
Organism: Dendronephthya gigantea
Lineage: Eukaryota; Metazoa; Cnidaria; Anthozoa; Malacalcyonacea; Nephtheidae
Exons: 4
Source: RefSeq, a predicted model, not a curated record
AGUUUUGUCUUCCACAAGGUUCUGAUUACAAUGCGGAUAAACUCGCCGCAAUAUUUUCAAAGUAUACAAAACACCUGCUACGGCCUUGUUUUUCUGGAAAUGUGAGGCAGAAACAAUGUACUCCCAGCCAAAGAAAGUCGCCUUCUAAAUGGUUUGCAAUCGCAUAUAGAGAAGCAAUAUCUCACACGCGUUCGUGUGAUAUUUUAUAUUCAAGAACAUCACAGAAUUUUUAUGAUUUUGAAGUCGAGUUUCGACGCCUGGGUUUGCUGACAUUGGAUUGUUGGAGAGAAUAUUGUAAGCGUUCGUUAUCAAGAA